GUUGUAGCUCAGUGGAAGAAUGCUUGCCUAGCAUGUAUGAGGUACAGGGUUCGAUUCUCAGCAUACA
RNAcentral lists this transfer RNA (67 nucleotides) under Marmota monax (woodchuck). Its description in RNAcentral is "tRNA.Ala". The record is from RNAcentral. Lineage: Eukaryota; Metazoa; Chordata; Mammalia; Rodentia; Sciuridae.